Podarcis lilfordi (Lilford's wall lizard) is the source of this 76-nucleotide non-coding RNA. The record is from the annotation of a GenBank genome assembly. NCBI's taxonomy places the organism in Eukaryota, Metazoa, Chordata, Lepidosauria, Squamata, Lacertidae.
GUCCUGGGAUAGCUCAGCAGGCAAGAGCACAAGGCACUUAAUCUCAGGGUUGUGGGUUCGAGCCCCACGUUGGGCA